Non-coding RNA from Triticum aestivum (bread wheat), 100 nucleotides. The record is from Rfam. NCBI's taxonomy places the organism in Eukaryota, Viridiplantae, Streptophyta, Magnoliopsida, Poales, Poaceae.
CAAGUACUCCCUCCGUCCGAAAAUACUUGUCAUCAAAAUGGAUAAAAGACCCCUUUUAUCCAUUUUGAUGACAAGUAUUUUCGGACGGAGGAAGUAGCAG